UUGUUCUUUAGUCAGAGGCCAAUAGGCUUCACAGGUGAGGUAAUAGGCUGCCUCUAUGUGGACGUUAUGACAGUAUGACUUAUUGUUCCUCUCUCUCCUCUACAGCUCAUGUACUGAUAGUGUGCUGCCCUCUAGUGGGUCUGUUCAAUAAGAGCCAAACCCGGAGCAAAAAUCUACAUCUGUCCAAUUCCCUUGGUUUUGUUCAUAGAUUAAGAACAAGGUUUUAAAAUGAACAUGUCAUAAUUAUAAUGCACAAAACAAGAGUUAAACAAACUGUUUUUAAUGUGAUUGUUGUAUGAGCUAUUAUUAAAGACAAACAUUUGAUAUUUUGAAUGAAUUCCAGAAUGGCCAUCUAGUACACACUCAGUCAGUCAGACGUAGUGACAAGUUAGUCUUUACUUUAUUUCAGCUUUUGAUUACAUGGCAAUGAUAGAAACCUCAAAUCAAACACUACGAAACAAAAAUAAAAAUGGCUAAUAAUAACAUCAUAUUGCUACAUUAAAACUCCAAAAUAACAUGAAAAAACAGAUAAAUCCACUAUACAUUUAAGUAUAUACAACCUUGAUAAAUAACCAGUAACCAAACUGUGUCUAUAUUUCUGAUUGUUUUAUUUGCUGUUUCCUUGUCAUCUCUAUAAGCAGUCUGCUGAGACGAGGCUAGGAGAAACUCAUCAGAGAAACAGGGCUAUGUGCUAUGGAAGCAGAUUCUUGGCACAAAAAAAAGAUUGAAAUAAAACUAAUACUGAUGAAUAAUUUGUCAAUAUCACUGCUUCUUUAUUUUUGGCAUGAAUGUGCCUCCAUAAAUGAGGAAAACCAUGAAUAACAGACAGCCAGGCACUGAUCACAGAGUAGAGAAGGUUUUAUGCACAAAUAAAACUGCAUUUGCUGGAUGCAAUUGUGAUGCCAUGUAUGAUUCCACUUUAAAAAACAAAUCAUGUAAACCACAGCUGACUGCAGAGGUCUUUCACUGGGAGAGUAGUUCACCACUAUGGAGCAUAGUGGUACAUUCCUGAUCAGAGUAGUUCCACCACUAUGGAGCAUAGUGGUACAUUCCUGAUCAGAGUAUUCCACCACUAUGGAGCAUAGUGGUACAUUCCUGAUCAGAGUAGUUCCACCACUAUGGAGCAUAGUGGUACAUUCCUGAUCAGAGUAUUCCACCACUAUGGAGCAUAGUGGUACAUUCCUGAUCAGAGUAGUUCCACCACUAUGGAGCAUAGUGGUACAUUCCUGAUCAGAGUAGUUCCAUCACUAUGGAGCAUAGUGGUACAUUCCUGAUCAGAGUAGUUCCAUCACUAUGGAGCAUAGUGGUACAUUCCUGAUCAACAGCUGUGUUUUGUCUCAAAUCCAAUCCAAACAUUCCAGGGUGUUCCAAUUAGGAACGGACAGUCCACUGCCCAGGCUUGGUUUGUCUUACAGGUAUUAUUACUGUAUUCCUAGGUGUUGUUUGUCUUACAGGUAUUAUUACUGUAUUCCUAGGUGUUGUUUGUCUUACAGGUAUUAUUACUGUAUUCCUAGGCGUUGUUUGUCUUACAGGUAUUAUUACUGUAUUCCUAGGCGUUGUUUGUCUUACAGGUAUUAUUACUGUAUUCCUAGUACAGUAAAGGAUGCAACAGCUAUCUGAAAUAAG
Molecule: long non-coding RNA, 1626 nt
Organism: Oncorhynchus keta (chum salmon)
Lineage: Eukaryota; Metazoa; Chordata; Actinopteri; Salmoniformes; Salmonidae
Exons: 3
Source: RefSeq, a predicted model, not a curated record